GGACUACACGGGUAUCUAAUCCCGUUUGCUCCCCUGGCUUUCGCGCAUCAGCGUCAGUAGAGAUCCAGCGCGCCGCUUUCGCCACCGGUGUUCCUUUUGAUAUCUACGCAUUUCACCGCUCCACCAAAAGUUCCGCACGCCCCUAUCUCCCUCAAGACGGCCAGUAUCAGGGGCACUUCCACGGUUGAGCCGUGGGCUUUCACCUCUGACUUGACCACCCGCCUACGCGCCCUUUAAGCCCAGUGAUUCCGAACAACGUUUGCACGGUUCGUCUUACCGCGGCUGCUGGCAC
This 292-nucleotide ribosomal RNA is filed under the name uncultured bacterium. Its description in RNAcentral is "partial 16S ribosomal RNA". The record is from RNAcentral. RNAcentral also lists the same sequence under 1 other name.